AUUGAACGCUGGCGGCAGGCCUAACACAUGCAAGUCGAGCGGAUGAAGGGAGCUUGCUCCUGGAUUCAGCGGCGGACGGGUGAGUAAUGCCUAGGAAUCUGCCUGGUAGUGGGGGAUAACGUCCGGAGACGGGCGCUAAUACCGCAUACGUCCUGAGGGAGAAAGUGGGGGAUCUUCGGACCUCACGCUAUCAGAUGAGCCUAGGUCGGAUUAGCUAGUUGGCGGGGUAAAGGCCUACCAAGGCGACGAUCCGUAACUGGUCUGAGAGGAUGAUCAGUCACACUGGAACUGAGACACGGUCCAGACUCCUACGGGAGGCAGCAGUGGGGAAUAUUGGACAAUGGGCGAAAGCCUGAUCCAGCCAUGCCGCGUGUGUGAAGAAGGUCUUCGGAUUGUAAAGCACUUUAAGUUGGGAGGAAGGGCAGUAAGUUAAUACCUUGCUGUUUUGACGUUACCAACAGAAUAAGCACCGGCUAACUUCGUG
Molecule: ribosomal RNA, 484 nt
Filed under: uncultured bacterium
Lineage: Bacteria
Description: partial 16S ribosomal RNA
Rfam family: Bacterial small subunit ribosomal RNA
Source: RNAcentral